AUACGUAGGGGGCGAGCGUUGUCCGGAAUGAUUGGGCGUAAAGGGCGCGUAGGCGGCCCGGUAAGUCUGGAGUGAAAGUCCUGUUUUUGAGAUGGGAAUUGCUUUGGAUACUGUCGGGCUUGAGUGCAGGAGAGGUAAGUGGAAUUCCCAGUGUAGCGGUGAAAUGCGUAGAGAUUGGGAGGAACACCAGUGCGAAGGCGACUUACUGGACUGUAACUGACGCUGAGGCGCGAAAGUGUGGGGAGCAAACAGGAUUAGAUACCCUGGUAGUCCACACUGUAAACGAUGAAUGCUAGGUGUAGGGGGUAUCGACCCCUUCUGUGCCGCAGUCAACACAAUAAGCAUUCCGCCUGGGGAGUACGGCCGCAAGGUUGAAACUCAAAUGAAUUGACGGGG
This 396-nucleotide ribosomal RNA is filed under the name uncultured bacterium. RNAcentral's name for it is "partial 16S ribosomal RNA". It matches the Rfam family "Bacterial small subunit ribosomal RNA", at positions 523 to 918 of the family's 1533-position model. The record is from RNAcentral.